AUCCAGCUGACGAGUCUGAAAUGGGACGAAAUGCGCGUCAAACUGGAU
This 48-nucleotide non-coding RNA is filed under the name Schistosoma mansoni. The record is from RNAcentral. Lineage: Eukaryota; Metazoa; Platyhelminthes; Trematoda; Strigeidida; Schistosomatidae.